Molecule: ribosomal RNA, 254 nt
Filed under: uncultured bacterium
Lineage: Bacteria
Description: partial 16S ribosomal RNA
Rfam family: Bacterial small subunit ribosomal RNA
Source: RNAcentral
UACGUAGGACCCAAGCGUUAUCCGGAUUUACUGGGCGUAAAGAGUUGCGUAGGUGGCAGGUAAAGCAAACAGUGAAAUCGUGUGGCUCAACCAUACUCACAUUGUUUGAACUCACCAGCUAGAGGACGAGAGAGGUUAUUGGAAUUCCUAGUGUAGGAGUGAAAUCCGUAGAUAUUAGGAGGAACACCGAUGGCGUAGGCAGAUAACUGGCUCGUUCCUGACACUAAGGCACGAAAGCGUGGGGAGCAAACGGG